UACGGAAGGGGCUAGCGUUGUUCGGAAUUACUGGGCGUAAAGAGCGCGUAGGCGGCUUACCAAGUUGGGGGUGAAAUCCCGGAGCUCAACUCCGGAACUGCCUUCAAAACUGGAAGGCUCGAGUCCGGAAGAGGGGCGUGGAAUUCCCAGUGUAGAGGUGAAAUUCGUAGAUAUUGGGAAGAACACCGGUGGCGAAGGGGGCGCCCAGGUCCGGUACGGACGCUGAGGCGCAAAGGCGGGGGAGCAAACAGG
Molecule: ribosomal RNA, 252 nt
Filed under: uncultured bacterium
Lineage: Bacteria
Description: partial 16S ribosomal RNA
Rfam family: Bacterial small subunit ribosomal RNA
Source: RNAcentral